RNAcentral lists this ribosomal RNA (274 nucleotides) under uncultured bacterium. Its description in RNAcentral is "partial 16S ribosomal RNA". It matches the Rfam family "Bacterial small subunit ribosomal RNA", at positions 523 to 796 of the family's 1533-position model. The record is from RNAcentral.
AUACGGGGGAUGCAAGCGUUAUUCGGAAUCAUUGGGCGUAAAGGGCACGCAGGCGGUUCUGUCAGUCAGAUGUGAAAGCCCGGGGCUUAACCCCGGACGUGCAUUUGAAACAGCAGGACUUGAGUAUGGUAGAGGAAAGCGGAAUUCCUGGUGUAGAGGUGAAAUUCGUAGAUAUCAGGAGGAACACCGGUGGCGAAGGCGGCUUUCUGGACCAAAACUGACGCUGAGGUGCGAAGGCGUGGGUAGCGAACAGGAUUAGAAACCCCAGUAGUCC